CUUCUUCGAUCUGCUGCGGGCAGAUGAAAUGAAUAUGCGCAUCGAUGCCGCCAGCGGUCAAAAUCUGCCCUUCUCCGGCGAUGAUUUCGGUGCCCGGCCCGAUGACGAGAUCGACGCUGUCCUGAAUGUCAGGAUUGCCGGCCUUGCCGAUACCGAAGAUGCGGCCGUUUUUGAUGCCGACAUCGGCUUUCACGAUGCCCCAGUGAUCGACGAUCAGCGCAUUCGUGAUCACCGCAUCCAUUGCCCCUUGCGCCGUGACCUGGCUUUGCCCCAUGCCGUCGCGGAU
This 286-nucleotide small RNA is filed under the name Methylomicrobium album BG8. Its description in RNAcentral is "5' ureB small RNA". It matches the Rfam family "5' ureB small RNA". The record is from Rfam by way of RNAcentral. Lineage: Bacteria; Pseudomonadati; Pseudomonadota; Gammaproteobacteria; Methylococcales; Methylococcaceae.